This 253-nucleotide ribosomal RNA is filed under the name uncultured bacterium. RNAcentral's name for it is "partial 16S ribosomal RNA". It matches the Rfam family "Bacterial small subunit ribosomal RNA", at positions 524 to 776 of the family's 1533-position model. The record is from RNAcentral.
UACAGAGGGUGCAAGCGUUAAUCGGAAUCACUGGGCGUAAAGGGUGCGUAGGCGGCGACAGCAGUUGGUUGUGAAAUCCCUGGGCUCAACCUGGGAAUGGCAGCCAAUACUAUGUCGCUAGAGUACAACAGAGGAGAGCGGAAUUUCCGGUGUAGCGGUGAAAUGCGUAGAUAUCGGAAGGAACAUCAGUGGCGAAGGCGGCUCUCUGGUUUGAUACUGACGCUCAGGCACGAAAGCGUGGGGAGCAAACAGG